RNAcentral lists this ribosomal RNA (510 nucleotides) under uncultured bacterium. RNAcentral describes it as "partial 16S ribosomal RNA". It matches the Rfam family "Bacterial small subunit ribosomal RNA", at positions 28 to 507 of the family's 1533-position model. The record is from RNAcentral.
GACGAACGCUGGCGGCGUGCUUAACACAUGCAAGUCGAACGAAGAGCGAUGGAAGCUUGCUUCUAUCAAUCUUAGUGGCGAACGGGUGAGUAACGCGUAAUCAACCUGCCCUUCAGAGGGGGACAACAGUUGGAAACGACUGCUAAUACCGCAUACGAUCUAAUCUCGGCAUCGAGGAUAGAUGAAAGGUGGCCUCUACAUGUAAGCUAUCACUGAAGGAGGGGAUUGCGUCUGAUUAGCUAGUUGGGGGGGUAACGGCCCACCAAGGCGAUGAUCAGUAGCCGGUCUGAGAGGAUGAACGGCCACAUUGGGACUGAGACACGGCCCAGACUCCUACGGGAGGCAGCAGUGGGGAAUCUUCCGCAAUGGACGAAAGUCUGACGGAGCAACGCCGCGUGAGUGAUGACGGCCUUCGGGUUGUAAAGCUCCGUUAAUCGGGACGAAAGGCCUUCUUGCGAAUAGUGAGAAGGAUUGACGGUACCGGAAUAGAAAGCCACGGCUAACUACGUG